AAUGCUAUUACAAAUGCUGCACAUUUUGACAAAGUAUGUCAAUUUACUGUUAACAUAACCCUUGAUAAUGUAUGAUACUCUCACUUUAACCUGAGAAAAUAUCUUCCGAUGCAAUUGCCAAGCCAUCGUUUUCAACAUAUUGUAUUUCUUUUGUAACUUUGGCUUGGGUGCACAGGGCAAGCUACAAUACAAACAGCACAGAGCUGUGUGAUAUUAUUUAAAUCGUAUCGAUAGGUGUCCAUAUAGUUAGAAUACAAUCAAUAUGUUUGCAUAUAACAUUUAUUCCAUAAGCGGAAGUCUUUAAAAUGUUCUUUACAGGUCACAACUCUUUCUUUGUUGUGUGUGUGCGUGUAUGUCUGAGAGAGAAUGUGCGCGGGCGUGCGUGUGUGUGUGUGUGUGUCCGUUUAUGGGGGGUGGGGGAUGCCACCAGACGAGAUGUAUUAAAUCACCGGGCCACAGCGAACAUAAAGUGAUGGGAGGAAGCCAAAGUGUGAGGGAUCGCUCCCCACUUUGUCCGCGGCUAAAUCUUCACUCCAUCAGGCUGUCAGGCGGGCGCCUCCUCGCACGGGUGAAAUAGCCGAGCGGUGCAGCUCCUCCUCGGUGCAGUCCGCGGUUGAACGGAUUUCUUUUGCUAUUUCGGAAUAAAUUGACCCGCCAUUCCGAGGUAGAGAGGGACAGACAGACAGGCAGACAGACAGAGAGGCAGUCACAGGCAGAGAGGUCGGUAUUUGUGCAACCACAUCCCCAUCCCGUUUUUCUUACGGCUGGUGCUGCUGACCGGGAGAGGAGCCGGUGAUGGAAAGUGGAUCAGCUGACCCCGGGGCCCGAGCUGAAGGUGACCCCCGUCGGCUGGGCCAGGGGCUGCAACACAGGGCAUGGGUCCUGCUUCUCCUCUCCGCUCGUGUCUUGUGUUGCAGCCAGUGGAGCAGCCUGACUGCCUCCCUGCAGGUCGCUCUGCCCGACGCACGGCGCUCAACAGAUGAAGCCCAAUAACCACGGACUCUGCAGCUAGUUCAUGCCUUGCCGUUGUCGUUCUCAUCGGGUGUCAUUUUUUUAAGGUCGAAAUGUUGUCCUUUCUCACAGGUUAAAGUCAAUAAAGCCAAUAAAAGAAAAGAAAACACCUUA
Molecule: long non-coding RNA, 1125 nt
Organism: Pungitius pungitius (ninespine stickleback)
Lineage: Eukaryota; Metazoa; Chordata; Actinopteri; Perciformes; Gasterosteidae
Exons: 2
Source: RefSeq, a predicted model, not a curated record